Molecule: ribosomal RNA, 497 nt
Filed under: uncultured bacterium
Lineage: Bacteria
Description: partial 16S ribosomal RNA
Rfam family: Bacterial small subunit ribosomal RNA
Source: RNAcentral
GAUGAACGCUGGCGGCGUGCCUAAUACAUGCAAGUCGAGCGAACGGACGAGAAGCUUGCUUCUCUGAUGUUAGCGGCGGACGGGUGAGUAACACGUGGAUAACCUACCUAUAAGACUGGGAUAACUUCGGGAAACCGGAGCUAAUACCGGAUAAUAUUUUGAACCGCAUGGUUCAAAAGUGAAAAACGGUUUUGCUGUCACUUUUAGAUGGACCCGCGCUGCAUUAGCUAGUUGGUAAGGUAACGGCUUACCAAGGCAACGAUGCAUAGCCGACCUGAGAGGGUGAUCGGCCACACUGGAACUGAGACACGGUCCAGACUCCUACGGGAGGCAGCAGUAGGGAAUCUUCCGCAAUGGGCGAAAGCCUGACGGAGCAACGCCGCGUGAGUGAUGAAGGUCUUCGGAUCGUAAAACUCUGUUAUUAGGGAAGAACAUAUGUGUAAGUAACUGUGCACAUCUUGACGGUACCUAAUCAGAAAGCCACGGCUAACUACGUG